UAUUCCGCGAUGGGGGAAACUCUGACGCAGUGACGCCGCGUAUAGGAAGAAGGUUUUCGGAUUGUAAACUAUUGUCGUGAGGGAAGAAAUUGACAGUACCUCAGGAGGAAGCUUCGGCGAACUAUGUGCCAGCAGCCGCGGUAACACAUAGGGAGCAAGCGUCAUCCGGAUUUAUUGGGUGUAAAGGGUGCGUAGACGGGAAAUUAAGUUAGUUGUGAAAUCCCUCGGCUUAACUGAGGAACUGCAACUAAAACUGAUUUUCUUGAGUACUGGAGAGGAAAGUGGAAUUCCUAGUGUAGCGGUGAAAUGCGUAGAUAUUAGGAGGAACACCGGUGGCGAAGGCGACUUUCUGGACAGUAACUGACGUUGAGGCACGAAAGUGUGGGGAGCAAACAGG
RNAcentral lists this ribosomal RNA (397 nucleotides) under uncultured bacterium. RNAcentral's name for it is "bacterial SSU rRNA". It matches the Rfam family "Bacterial small subunit ribosomal RNA", at positions 362 to 776 of the family's 1533-position model. The record is from RNAcentral.